This 33-nucleotide ribosomal RNA is filed under the name Acer palmatum subsp. palmatum. Its description in RNAcentral is "partial 25S ribosomal RNA". The record is from RNAcentral. Lineage: Eukaryota; Viridiplantae; Streptophyta; Magnoliopsida; Sapindales; Sapindaceae.
CGCGACCUCAGGUCAGGCGGGAUUACCCGCUGA